Molecule: ribosomal RNA, 163 nt
Filed under: Enterococcus faecalis
Lineage: Bacteria; Bacillati; Bacillota; Bacilli; Lactobacillales; Enterococcaceae
Description: partial 23S ribosomal RNA
Rfam family: Bacterial large subunit ribosomal RNA
Source: RNAcentral
GGUUAAGUGAAUAAGGGCGCACGGUGGAUGCCUUGGCACUAGGAGCCGAUGAAGGACGGGACUAACACCGAUAUGCUUUGGGGAGCUGUAAGUAAGCUAUGAUCCAGAGAUUUCCGAAUGGGGGAACCCAAUAUCUUUUAUAGGAUAUUACUUUUCAGUGAAU